RNAcentral lists this ribosomal RNA (253 nucleotides) under uncultured bacterium. Its description in RNAcentral is "partial 16S ribosomal RNA". It matches the Rfam family "Bacterial small subunit ribosomal RNA", at positions 524 to 776 of the family's 1533-position model. The record is from RNAcentral.
UACGUAGGGCGCAAGCGUUAUCCGGAAUUAUUGGGCGUAAAGAGCUCGUAGGCGGUUUGUCGCGUCUGCCGUGAAAGUCCGGGACUCAACUCCGGAUCUGCGGUGGGUACGGGCAGACUAGAGUGAUGUAGGGGAGACUGGAAUUCCUGGUGUAGCGGUGAAAUGCGCAGAUAUCAGGAGGAGCACCGAUGGCGAAGGCAGGUCUCUGGGCAUUAACUGACGCUGAGGAGCGAAAGCAUGGGGAGCGAACAGG